Molecule: small nucleolar RNA, 132 nt
Filed under: Mus pahari (shrew mouse)
Lineage: Eukaryota; Metazoa; Chordata; Mammalia; Rodentia; Muridae
Description: predicted gene, 26080 (MGP_PahariEiJ_G0034683.1)
Rfam family: Small nucleolar RNA SNORA17
About the family: snoRNA ACA 17 belongs to the H/ACA family of snoRNAs and is predicted to guide pseudouridylation of the 28S rRNA at positions U4659 and U4598. It shares the same host gene together with ACA43.
Source: RNAcentral
ACAGGCCCUAGAAGCAUUGUAGGUGUGGCUGCUGUGUCACAAGUACAUUAGUAGGUGGCAGAAAAGAGAUAGGCUAUGUCUAUGUUCAGUGUUCUGACCUUUGAAUAUGUGAAUGAUUAGUAGCUUAACAUU